This 257-nucleotide ribosomal RNA is filed under the name uncultured bacterium. Its description in RNAcentral is "partial 16S ribosomal RNA". It matches the Rfam family "Bacterial small subunit ribosomal RNA", at positions 524 to 775 of the family's 1533-position model. The record is from RNAcentral.
UACGUAGGGACCAAGCGUUGUUCGGAUUUACUGGGCGUAAAGGGCGCGUAGGCGGCGUGGUAAGUCACUUGGAUGAAAUCUCUGAGCUUAAACUCAGAACGGUCAAGUGAUACUGCUGUGCUAGAGUGCGGUAGAGGGUAGUGGAAUUCCCGGUGUAGCGGUGAAAUGCGUAGAGAUCGGGAGGAACACCAGUGGCGAAGGCGGCUACCUGGACCAGCACUGGACACUGAGGCACGAAAGCGUGGGGGAGCAAACGG